GCUCAGAGUAUAAGCCAAUGGAGCUUGGAAGGCUUCCGCAGAUGGUGUCCAUCAUACGUGGUGUUCUUAAGACCUUGAGUGUGGCUCGUGAAGCGAAGCAUUGAGUUUGCCGACCAGCUGUCGUGCGGGGGGUUCAGCUUGGGAGGGUUGGGUUUCGGUCCAACAGUUUUCCUUCUGUCCCCUUUUGAAUGGACGUUCAGAGCUCUUGGUCUAAUGCGGUUAUGCCCACCACAGCACGUUGUGAGGUCACCCACAGGCUCAACUGCCGAUCGCGCAUCCAGGACGAUGGCAACGAUGCGUUGUCGAUGAUGGCUCGAGAGAGACUUCACUCACACGCGUGUCUAGUCCUGGGUCGGGCGGCGACCGAGAUAAACCUGGUACGAUCCUCUUGCGACGAGCUGCUUUCUGGCCAGACCGACGCCCGGACGCCUCCACUGUGCCGGAAGCGUCAACCCCAGGCGGUGUGAACCCAGCUGCAUUAUGCAAGGUCUCUCAGCCGGGCGUUGGUCUGAGUGGUGUUAAGUCCAGCACCAUCGGUCACGUCUCGAAACACGGGCCAAGGAGUAUAGCAUGUGUGCAAGUCUAAGGGUCUCACAAAACCCGAAGGCGAAGUGAAAGCAAGACUGUGGCGGGGGAGCUACGGCAAACCCGCCGGCCUAGUGGCGCGUGCGUCGCCUGGCUUUUAGCAGAGCUGAUCCUGUUUUCUCGGUUAAUUCUUGGUGCAGGCGCAAGCUCCGGGCUCACGUACAACACUGGUCACGCCUCGCG
Molecule: ribosomal RNA, 768 nt
Filed under: Niphargus stygius
Lineage: Eukaryota; Metazoa; Arthropoda; Malacostraca; Amphipoda; Niphargidae
Description: partial large subunit ribosomal RNA
Source: RNAcentral